AGAUUAAGUUAUUAAGGGCGCACGGUGGAUGCCUUGGCACUAGAAGCCGACGAAGGACGUUACUAACGACGAUAUGCUUUGGGUAGCUGUAAGUAAGCGUUGAUCCAGAGAUUUCCGAAUGGGGGAACCCAGCACGAGUUAUGUCGUGUUAUCGACAAGUGAAUUCAUAGCUUGUCAGAAGGCAGACCCGGAGAACUGAAACAUCUUAGUACCCGGAGGAAGAGAAAGAAAAAUCGAUUCCCUGAGUAGCGGCGAGCGAAACGGGAAGAGCCCAAACCAAUAAGCUUGCUUAUUGGGGUUGUAGGACACUCUAUACGGAGUUACAAAGGAAUAUAUUAGACGAAUCAUCUGGAAAGUUGAAUCAAAGAAGGUAAUAAUCCUGUAGUUGAAAUAUAUUCUCUCUUGAGUGGAUCCUGAGUACGACGGAGCACGUGAAAUUCCGUCGGAAUCUGGGAGGACCAUCUCCUAAGGCUAAAUACUCUCUAGUGACCGAUAGUGAACCAGUACCGUGAGGGAAAGGUGAAAAGUACCCCGGAAGGGGAGUGAAAGAGAACUUGAAACCGUGUGCUUACAAGUAGUCAGAGCCCGUUAAUGGGUGAUGGCGUGCCUUUUGUAGAAUGAACCGGCGAGUUACGAUCUGAUGCAAGGUUAAGCAGGAGAUGUGGAGCCGUAGCGAAAGCGAGUCUGAAUAGGGCGUUGAGUAUUUGGUCGUAGACCCGAAACCAGGUGAUCUACCCAUGGUCAGGUUGAAGUUCAGGUAACACUGAAUGGAGGACCGAACCGACUUACGUUGAAAAGUGAGCGGAUGAACUGUGGGUAGCGGAGAAAUUCCAAUCGAACUUGGAGAUAGCUGGUUCUCUCCGAAAUAGCUUUAGGGCUAGCCUCAAGUGAUGAUUAUUGGAGGUAGAGCACUGUUUGGACGAGGGGCCCCUCUCGGGUUACCGAAUUCAGACAAACUCCGAAUGCCAAUUAAUUUAACUUGGGAGUCAGAACAUGGGUGAUAAGGUCCGUGUUCGAAAGGGAAACAGCCCAGACCACCAGCUAAGGUCCCAAAAUAUAUGUUAAGUGGAAAAGGAUGUGGCGUUGCCCAGACAACUAGGAUGUUGGCUUAGAAGCAGCCAUCAUUUAAAGAGUGCGUAAUAGCUCACUAGUCGAGUGACACUGCGCCGAAAAUGUACCGGGGCUAAACAUAUUACCGAAGCUGUGGAUUGUCCGUAGGACAAUGGUAGGAGAGCGUUCUAAGGGCGUUGAAGCAUGAUCGCAAGGACAUGUGGAGCGCUUAGAAGUGAGAAUGCCGGUGUGAGUAGCGAAAGACGGGUGAGAAUCCCGUCCACCGAUUGACUAAGGUUUCCAGAGGAAGGCUCGUCCGCUCUGGGUUAGUCGGGUCCUAAGCUGAGGCCGACAGGCGUAGGCGAUGGAUAACAGGUUGAUAUUCCUGUACCACCUAGCAUCGUUUUAAUCGAUGGGGGGACGCAGUAGGAUAGGCGAAGCGUACGAUUGGAUUGUACGUCCAAGCAGUGAGAUUGAGUGUUAGGCAAAUCCGGCACUCUUAAGAUUGAGCUGUGAUGGGGAGAGGAAAUUGUUUCCUCGAGUCGUUGAUUUCACACUGCCGAGAAAAGCCUCUAGAUAGAUAAUAGGUGCCCGUACCGCAAACCGACACAGGUAGUCAAGAUGAGAAUUCUAAGGUGAGCGAGCGAACUCUCGUUAAGGAACUCGGCAAAAUGACCCCGUAACUUCGGGAGAAGGGGUGCUCUUUAGGGUGCAAGCCCAGAAGAGCCGCAGUGAAUAGGCCCAAGCGACUGUUUAUCAAAAACACAGGUCUCUGCUAAACCGUAAGGUGAUGUAUAGGGGCUGACGCCUGCCCGGUGCUGGAAGGUUAAGAGGAGUAGUUAGCUUCUGCGAAGCUACGAAUCGAAGCCCCAGUAAACGGCGGCCGUAACUAUAACGGUCCUAAGGUAGCGAAAUUCCUUGUCGGGUAAGUUCCGACCCGCACGAAAGGCGUAACGAUUUGGGCACUGUCUCAACGAGAGACUCGGUGAAAUCAUAGUACCUGUGAAGAUGCAGGUUACCCGCGACAGGACGGAAAGACCCCGUGGAGCUUUACUGUAGCCUGAUAUUGAAAUUCGGCACAGCUUGUACAGGAUAGGUAGGAGCCUUUGAAACGUGAGCGCUAGCUUACGUGGAGGCGCUGGUGGGAUACUACCCUAGCUGUGUUGGCUUUCUAACCCGCACCACUUAUCGUGGUGGGAGACAGUGUCAGGCGGGCAGUUUGACUGGGGCGGUCGCCUCCUAAAAGGUAACGGAGGCGCUCAAAGGUUCCCUCAGAAUGGUUGGAAAUCAUUCAUAGAGUGUAAAGGCAUAAGGGAGCUUGACUGCGAGACCUACAAGUCGAGCAGGGUCGAAAGACGGACUUAGUGAUCCGGUGGUUCCGCAUGGAAGGGCCAUCGCUCAACGGAUAAAAGCUACCCCGGGGAUAACAGGCUUAUCUCCCCCAAGAGUUCACAUCGACGGGGAGGUUUGGCACCUCGAUGUCGGCUCAUCGCAUCCUGGGGCUGUAGUCGGUCCCAAGGGUUGGGCUGUUCGCCCAUUAAAGCGGUACGCGAGCUGGGUUCAGAACGUCGUGAGACAGUUCGGUCCCUAUCCGUCGUGGGCGUAGGAAAUUUGAGAGGAGCUGUCCUUAGUACGAGAGGACCGGGAUGGACAUACCUCUGGUGUACCAGUUGUCGUGCCAACGGCAUAGCUGGGUAGCUAUGUAUGGACGGGAUAAGUGCUGAAAGCAUCUAAGCAUGAAGCCCCCUCAAGAUGAGAUUUCCCAACUUCGGUUAUAAGAUCCCUCAAAGAUGAUGAGGUUAAUAGGUUCGAGGUGGAAGCGUGGUGACACGUGGAGCUGACGAAUACUAAUCGAUCGAAGACUUAAUCAAUUU
This 2924-nucleotide ribosomal RNA is filed under the name Staphylococcus haemolyticus. RNAcentral describes it as "23S ribosomal RNA". It matches the Rfam family "Bacterial large subunit ribosomal RNA". The record is from RNAcentral. Lineage: Bacteria; Bacillati; Bacillota; Bacilli; Caryophanales; Staphylococcaceae.